RNAcentral lists this ribosomal RNA (253 nucleotides) under uncultured bacterium. RNAcentral's name for it is "partial 16S ribosomal RNA". It matches the Rfam family "Bacterial small subunit ribosomal RNA", at positions 524 to 776 of the family's 1533-position model. The record is from RNAcentral.
UACGUAGGGGGCUAGCGUUGUCCGGAAUCAUUGGGCGUAAAGCGCGCGUAGGUGGCCCGGUAAGUCCGCUCUGAAAGUCACAGGCUCAACCUGUGAAAGCGGGUGGAUACUGCCGGGCUAGAGUCCGGAAGAGGCGAGUGGAAUUCCUGGUGUAGCGGUGGAAUGCGCAGAUAUCAGGAGGAACACCAACGGCGAAGGCAGCUCGCUGGGACGGUACUGACACUGAGGUGCGAAAGCGUGGGGAGCAAACAGG